GGGCGGAUGGUGUAACGGUUAACACAAGUGUCUUAUACACACUCGAGUCCUGGUUCGAAUCCAGGUCCGCCCACUA
This 76-nucleotide transfer RNA is filed under the name Candidatus Daviesbacteria bacterium RIFCSPHIGHO2_01_FULL_40_11. RNAcentral describes it as "tRNA-Ile". It matches the Rfam family "tRNA". From Rfam's summary of the family: Transfer RNA (tRNA) molecules are approximately 80 nucleotides in length. Their secondary structure includes four short double-helical elements and three loops (D, anti-codon, and T loops). Lineage: Bacteria; Candidatus Daviesiibacteriota. The record is from RNAcentral.